UCCGCCUCCUGAUAAAAAAAAAAUCGUGUUGUGCUCCGCUCGGGUGUCGCCCAGUCACUGCUCCGCGUCUGAGUUGUCGCCGUGGCCUCCCCCCCACAGUCACACCGUUGUGCCGUCCCUUCUAGCGCAAGGUAGGAACGAGGGAGCAGGCGGUGGCGGCGACGGAGCAGCGCAGGCCCGCGCGUAGGAAGAGGUAGCCGAGCGCAGUCCUACGCGCUCCGCCGGCGCUCGCGCACAGGCAGCAACGACGGUGGCACCGCGGAGUCCCAUAAGGUGUUGCAGCUCCCCAGCUCCUCUCCGACCGAGCGUCGUGGCUCCUCCCUAUCUCCUCUCCGACGAGCACGCCCCGUCCUCGGCCAAGGCGGACAAGCAGGUGGUGCAGACUGCUGAUGCUAUGGCCCUAUGCACGACAGCAUGCCUGGCGUGGCCUUUGGUCGAGCUCCGCGCCGCCCGCGGAGCUCGCUUCCGACCUCCCCAGCGGCUGCGAGGUCGGCCGUGGAGCUUGCUCCUGAUGGCUGCGGAGCUCCUCCCCGCCCUCUCUCUCGUGAGAGAGGAGCCGGAGUCUAUGGAGGAGUGGUGGCGGGAGGCAGGAGAUGAGUACUACGAGCUGGCUCCCCUCCAGCAGCGAGCGCUUCGCACCCAACAAGCUCAGGGAAGGAGGGUCAGCUUCGUCGAGCGCGGGCGUGGAUGAGCGCCCCAAGGAGGACGGAAACAGGGGCAGCUGGUGGCGCCUACGGGGCGCCCGCGGGCGCACCGCGAGGGAAAAAGGAGCAGAACUGGCUGAAGUGACUGUCCAUACUCUCGUAGUCUCCUAGAAUGCAUGCUCGCUCAUCCACCGGUCGCCCGGUCCUCACAGGCAGUAAGUGCAACUGAAGAAGGGACUGUCCAUUGUUGAUCACUCCAUGUGAGUUUUGCGGCAGGUACGGUCGCAAGAGAGCAUUCUCCUUGAUCCUAUUCCUUUCACAACUGGAACGGUUGUAAAAUAACUGGUCUCGGAGUUCACAAGGGUCCGGUUGCUUGUGGCUUCUUACCAGUGGCGUAGCUCGCCCAACAUUUUAGGUGGGGCAGAGGAAACUGAAAAAACAGAGCCAACACUCAAACUUGCUCUUGUUCUUGCUCCCCGUCAAUAGCUGCUACCGGAGCUGGCGUUGCCGCUCCACGUCCUUGGCCGUGCCAAGCCCAACUGCCCAAGCAGGAGCAUCAUGCUGCCGCCGGCGCCCCCUUUGAGCCUUGCUCUUCCACCUCCUCCUCCAUGAAUUGAACGCAGGUUCGUCGCUCAGCCAAGAUCGGCGAACGGCGCCGCGGUUGGCAGCCGGAGCAGCCGCGCAGCCGCAUGCCACGGCUGCGGCUAGGGUUUGGCGGCGUCGCCCGUCGGGGUCGGCCUGACGGGAGGCUGGGGUGGCGUUCGAUUCGACUGGAGUCUGAAGCAGCGAGCGGUGGGUCAAAAACGAAUAAUGGAUUUGAUGCUGCGGUGUGCCAAAAAUUGAUUGGGCCAUCUAUUUGGACCCGAGAACGCACCCACUUGCAGCCCAAAACGAACUCAUCUUCCUCCUGCAGUCCUCCAGCCAUGAGACUGGUCUAUUC
Long non-coding RNA from Panicum hallii, 1584 nucleotides. RefSeq lists it as uncharacterized. The transcript is spliced from 3 exons. NCBI's taxonomy places the organism in Eukaryota, Viridiplantae, Streptophyta, Magnoliopsida, Poales, Poaceae. The record is from RefSeq and is a predicted model, not a curated record.